CGUGUAGGCGGUCUCGCAAGUCGGAUGUGAAAUUCCCGGGCUUAACCCGGGAGCUGCAUCCGAAACUGCGAGACUUGAGUACUGGAGAGGAUAGUGGAAUUCCUAGUGUAGCGGUAAAAUGCGUAGAUAUUAGGAGGAACACCGGUGGCGAAGGCGACUAUCUGGACAGUAACUGACGCUGAGGCGCGAAAGCGUGGGGAGCAAACAGGAUUAGAUACCCUGGUAGUCC
RNAcentral lists this ribosomal RNA (229 nucleotides) under uncultured bacterium. RNAcentral describes it as "partial 16S ribosomal RNA". It matches the Rfam family "Bacterial small subunit ribosomal RNA", at positions 568 to 796 of the family's 1533-position model. The record is from RNAcentral.